RNAcentral lists this ribosomal RNA (228 nucleotides) under Enchytraeus buchholzi complex sp. 1 MK-2019. Its description in RNAcentral is "partial 16S ribosomal RNA". Lineage: Eukaryota; Metazoa; Annelida; Clitellata; Enchytraeida; Enchytraeidae. The record is from RNAcentral.
GCAUAAUCACUUGCCUAUUAAUUGUAGGCUAGAAUGAAUGGGGUAACGAAAUAAAACCUAUCUUAAUUAAACACCAUAUAAACUUAUAUCCAAGUGAAGAAGCUUAGAUUUAUUAAAAGGACAAGAAGACCCUAUAGAGCUUUAUUUAAAUAUUAACACUUAUAAUGUCACUUCGGUUGGGGCGACCCAGGAUAAAUCAUCCWGUAACAAAUAGACAAAUAUGUCAAU